This 242-nucleotide ribosomal RNA is filed under the name uncultured bacterium. RNAcentral describes it as "partial 16S ribosomal RNA". It matches the Rfam family "Bacterial small subunit ribosomal RNA", at positions 524 to 768 of the family's 1533-position model. The record is from RNAcentral.
UACGUAGGCAGCAAGCGUUGUUCGGAAUUACUGGGCGUAAAGAGUGUGUAGGCGGUGCUCUAAGUUCGGUGUGAAAUCUCCCGCUUAACUGGGAGGGUGCGCCGGAAACUGGAGUGCUCGAGCGUGGGAGAGGAAAGCGGAAUCCUGGUGUAGCGGUGAAAUGCGUAGAUAUCAGGAGGAACACCUGCGGUGUAGACGGCUUUCUGGACCAUGCUGACGCUGAGACACGAAAGCGUGGGUAG